UUCGGCAAUCGCAAUGCAUCUCCGCCGAAAUCUACUUCCCGAACACAUGGAGAGAUAAUAAAAAACGAUUGUACUUGUAGUGAGUGGGGCUAUGGCUUGCGGUAUUGCUGUCUCGUAGGUGCAUGUUUAUUGAGUCUCGAAAUUAGCUCGAUGUCGAGCAAAAUAGCGCUUUGUCAAGCUCGACUACCACCAUAUCCAACUACUUGCUGUAAUUGUUUAGGAUUUUACUGCACAACUCAAUUUCCGUCUUUUUUCAAUGGUUCUGGAAGACAGAUUUCUGCAAACGAUGCACCUAGACCCCGCACAACGUGUUGGAUUCUGUGCUUUGCUGGUUACAUCCUAGACUGUGAGAGUGGUGACAGGAUGCCAAAUUUUCGUGAAGUAAAGGUGGUUCAAUAUGUAUAAGCUUGCAAUGACCUUUAGAGUUGAAAGUACGUUAAAUAUACGUUUGUCUCCAGUAUGCCUCAGCUUGAAGUAGAUGGUAUCAUUGGCAUAGAUAUGAGGCAGUGCCAUCACUCACAUGGAUGUUGUUCUUCGUCGUGAACCAAUCCAUGCUCAUCAAGGCGACGCAAAUAAUGAUCACAGUGUUGAUAAGAGAAUUUGCACACUCCUUGCUGUUACUUGUCCUAAAACCAGUUGCUGUACUUCUUGAAACAUAUUCUCGAUCAGUAUGGGUUUGCUGCUCACGCAUCUCAUAGAAUUAGGUUUAUCAACAAGAUUAGACCUCAUGUUUGGUGACGAGUGUGAUGCUGCGUCUACAUUAUACAUACUCAAGCUGCUGUAGCAUUUCCCUGGCGUCUCAAUCUCUGUACGUAAAUUCAUCAGCCUGUUGAAGGAAACCGUGUGUUGACGCUUGAUGCAGAGAGGAGUCUGGUGAUUGCAUCCUGCUGAGACGGGACGAUUGUUGCAGGUGUUUGUCGUUGCCUUUGGUCACUAAACGUGGAACGUUUAUUUGCAAACCUAGAAAGCUGUUCAUUACGCUUGAGCUUAAGAAGAUUCUGAGUUCUUCAUUUACAAUAAAAUUUGUUUAUACAUAUUUGCAUAUCCAACUCAGACUUGGAGGUGGGAUACUUCAGAGAGUUUCAAAAAUCCCUGAUUUACCAAGGGUCUCCCCUCCACGAUGAAGCCCAUGCUAAGCCAUGACAAUGAGUUUGAAAUCGCCGUGAUUGCAAAAUUAGAUUAGUAGCGCAGCUCUCAUCACCGCAGACAUUAUUGCCUCAUACUGCAAUGACGUGUAAUGUUGUCGAGAGCAUUCCGAACUUGCGGUCUGCCAAACAGGCUGUCACCAUGUUGCCAACAAUCGUUUGCUGCGAUUGCACGCAAAUGCCACAGCAGGCUCAGGCUCCGAGACGCUCAUGGAGUUCCCUUACAGGGCGCACACUAAUCUUCAGCAGUGCAAUGUCAGUAGCAUGCUGGGUUGGAUCUCUCGACUAAUACCAUUUGAGAAGCGGUCACCACGUUUCGGCUCAACCUCAGUGACCAAUGGCAAUUGUAGAAUAAUCGUCAGUAUCAUGCCACCGAAAGUGCUCCAUAUAAUAGGAAUUCGAAAGGAAAACCUUAAGGAAGACUAAUGUCUCUGUAGAGCUGCUCGACUGUAUGUUGUUUACUCUCAGAUACGAAGGAAAUCCAAAUGAGAUGGAUUACUGUGCUAAGACAUUGACAUGGAUGACAGAAUUGCCCCGAUUCUUGGAUUGUUAGUCGAUUGGAAGGUAAUGAAUGUAAGUUUUACUGUUUUCAUUUCAGAUUAUAUUUAUAUGUUAUGGGGCAUCACGGAAGGAAGCGUUGAGAUGGAGAAUGCCAGACAUCACGUGCACGAUCGAAAUGCUGAGAAGUUGAAGAAUCUGUUUUUCAAAAAUGGAGGGAUCUAUAUCUAGUUAGGCCAAUACAUUGGUCAACUGGUGAUUUAUUUGUUUGCCAUAAAAUUACGAAACUUGAAUAUUAUUGAUGCGUUAUUUUUAGACAUGGAAGUUUGGGUCUUUUGGAACUACGGUAGCCUUCACUGUCCGAAGUCUUCAAAGUUAUGUGGUAUUUUCCUUAGAAUUCUGACGGUUGGAACUCUGUGUGCUGGUUCAUGAAUUUGUUCAAACCAUGCGAUCUUCAACACUAAACAAGUGUCCAAAUCAAACGAUCCAGCAAGUUCGGGACGUAUUUAUGGCUGAGCUUGGUCUCUAUCCCAAUGAUUGACCGAGUUCAGUGUCUUUUGUUUCUUCCUGGCGGUAUUUGCUGAGUUCUCGAAGGUUCCUCUGGCCAGUACAUCACUUGCCCAAGUCCACUUAGCUCGUCUUUUUGAUGGUAGAAAAGUUGCUGUGAAGGUGCAACAUACGCAUUUGACAGACACAUCACAAGCGGACAUCCAUACGGUGAACUUCAUUGUUCAUGUUGGCCACAGGCUAUUCCCUGAACUUGAUUACAGGCAUGAACCAUGGAUCAUCCUGGUCAGCAUUACACACACACACACAUAUCUGUAUAUAUAUAUAUAUAUAUAUAUAUACACAGCUCUUCUUUGAACUGUAUUUUACGUCAGGGAGCAUAUUUUGAGUUUGUAUGAAAAGAUUUGUACCACUGAUGAAGGAAUAAGUGCCUUGACAACAUGUGGCUAGUAGCAGAAAUGCAAGAAAGUCUGCCUCAAGUAAGUUCCAUGUUUAUUUUAAGAUAAUCAUUCCAAACAUUCAUAUAGAUGUUAUCUUUAUAUCUUUAAAGCUAGACGGGAAUUCAAUGAUACAUUCUGACUAAAUUUUGUCACCUAGGAAGAGUCUUUUCAAUUCUCUGACUGUAAUCUUUGUCCAUGACGUUUCACAUGACAAUAGAAUACAAGCAUAAAUUGAAGCUCUUACUCUCUUCAGGAGGUAGAUUUCAUGAGGGAAGGCAAGAAUGCGCAGCAAUGUGUCAAAAAAAUUGCGAAAAUGUCUCCUCCUAUUGCACCAUACAUAGCUGUUCCUGAAGUAUAUUGGGAAAUUAGCACUCGUCUCAUGUGCAUGGAAUUCAUGGGCGGCAUGGCCGUUUCGGAUUCGAAAGCCAUGAAAGAAGUUGGAAUCAAACCCCAAGAGGUUGCCGAAUUGAUUAGCGAGACUUUUGCGGAGAUGAUUUUUCACCAUGGAUUUGUGCAUUGAGAUCUUCAUGCAGCAAAUAUGAUGCUCCGAGUUAAACCUGGUAACUAAUCUGUUUUAUCUACGUAACUGACACUCACCCUGCGAAAGCUUUCUUCUGAAGUACCGAGAAUACAAUGAAACAUUCGACGAGUACUAAAAAUACUCCACAAUUGAUAUUGUUGGACCAUGGCUUGCAUAAGACUCUGGUUCCUGAGCUUCGUGCCAAUUAUGCAGGUUUAUGGAAGGUCAUCUCCUGCCACUUCGUCUGAAAUUUGAGAUUGGGAUCAAUGGACACAACAAUUAAAAGUCCUUUUUAAAAAUAAAAAAAAACCACACUUGGUUUGCUUUUACGCGUGAUGUGGUAUGAUCUUUGCAGUCUUUAGUUUUCGCCAACGUGGAUGGGAUCGAGUCUUACAGCCUGAAACUGGGAGCCGGAGAAGAUUACACAUUGUUUGCAUCAGUUAUGACGAUGCGUCCUUGGCG
Non-coding RNA from Physcomitrium patens, 3572 nucleotides. The record is from RefSeq and is a predicted model, not a curated record. NCBI's taxonomy places the organism in Eukaryota, Viridiplantae, Streptophyta, Bryopsida, Funariales, Funariaceae.